RNAcentral lists this transfer RNA (71 nucleotides) under Jenkinsia sp. CL54. RNAcentral's name for it is "tRNA-Thr". It matches the Rfam family "tRNA". Rfam says of the family: Transfer RNA (tRNA) molecules are approximately 80 nucleotides in length. Their secondary structure includes four short double-helical elements and three loops (D, anti-codon, and T loops). Further hydrogen bonds mediate the characteristic L-shaped molecular structure. tRNAs have two regions of fundamental functional importance: the anti-codon, which is responsible for specific mRNA codon recognition, and the 3' end, to which the tRNAs corresponding amino acid is attached (by aminoacyl-tRNA synthetases). tRNAs cope with the degeneracy of the genetic code in two manners: having more than one tRNA (with a specific anti-codon) for a particular amino acid; and 'wobble' base-pairing, i.e. permitting non-standard base-pairing at the 3rd anti-codon position. Lineage: Eukaryota; Metazoa; Chordata; Actinopteri; Clupeiformes; Clupeidae. The record is from RNAcentral.
GCCCUGGUAGCUUAAGCCAAAGCGCCGGUUUUGUAAUCCGGAGAUUGAUGGUUGAACUCCUUCCCAAGGCC